GUCGUAACAAGGUUUCCGUAGGUGAACCUGCGGAAGGAUCAUUACCACACCAAAUUAAAAACAAACCCCACGUGAAUUUGUACUGUAUUUGUUUUGUGUCUUAGUGUUUUUAUAAACGCUAUGACUAAACGAAGGUUUCGAAAGAAACUGAUGUACCUAUUUAAACCCCUUUUAAAAUUAUUUACUGAUAAAUUAACUGCAGAAAUGAAAAUUUUUGCUCAUAAUUUAAAUACAACUUUCAACAGUGGAUGUCUAGGCUC
Molecule: unclassified non-coding RNA, 260 nt
Filed under: fungal sp.
Lineage: Eukaryota; Fungi
Description: partial internal transcribed spacer region
Rfam family: Eukaryotic small subunit ribosomal RNA (bases 1-44)
Source: RNAcentral